CUAGAGCCUGUGCUCUGCAACAAGAGAAGCCACCACAAAGAGAAGCCCACACACAGCAAGAAAGAACAGUCCCAGCUCGCUGCAACUAGAGAGAGCCCUCUCGCAGCUACAAAGAUGGACCACAGCCAAAAAAAGCAUGUGGAACCCUAGGAUGGAACUCACACUCCCCACAUUGGAAGGCGAAGUCCCAACUACUGGACUGCCAGGAAAGUCCCUACAUUUAAUUCUUAGAAUAACACUUGAGGUUGCUGUUGUCUUCAAUUACAUUAAAAGUCUGUGUACAAAUA
Long non-coding RNA from Bubalus bubalis (water buffalo), 287 nucleotides. RefSeq lists it as uncharacterized. NCBI's taxonomy places the organism in Eukaryota, Metazoa, Chordata, Mammalia, Artiodactyla, Bovidae. The record is from RefSeq and is a predicted model, not a curated record. The transcript has 2 exons.